UACGUAGGUGGCAAGCGUUGUCCGGAUUUACUGGGCGUAAAGAGCGCGCAGGCGGUCGUUCAAGUCGCGUGUGAAAGCCCCCGGCUCAACUGGGGAGGGUCACGCGAUACUGAUCGACUCGAAGGCAGGAGAGGGAAGUGGAAUUCCCGGUGUAGUGGUGAAAUGCGUAGAUAUCGGGAGGAACACCAGUGGCGAAGGCGGCUCACUGGACUGGUAUUGACGCUGAGGUGCGAAAGCGUGGGGAGCAAACAGG
RNAcentral lists this ribosomal RNA (253 nucleotides) under uncultured bacterium. Its description in RNAcentral is "partial 16S ribosomal RNA". It matches the Rfam family "Bacterial small subunit ribosomal RNA", at positions 524 to 776 of the family's 1533-position model. The record is from RNAcentral.